CUCACGCAUGUAAUCCUAGCACUUUGGGAGGCCGAGGUGUGUGGAUCACUUGAGGUCGGGAGUUCAAGACAAGCCUGGCCAACAUGGUGAAACCCCAUCUCUACUAAAAAUGCAAAAAUUAGCCAGUCAUGGUGGUGGGUGCCUAUAAUCCUAGCUACUCAGGAGGCUGAGGCUGGAGACUCACUUGAACCCAGGAGGAAGAGGUUGCAGUGAGCCAAGAUUGUGCCACUGCAUUCCAGCCUGGUAGACAAGAGAAUAACUCCAUCUCAAAAAAAAAAAAAAAGAAAAAAGAAAAAAAUGACCUGGCCUCCUUGGUGUUGUGAUUGUUGCCGGGUGUGAGGUUGGCAUGGCUGAGCCAAAUAUUACCAUAUUUUUUGGCAACAAUGAUUGCUCUGAGAAUGGGCAUCGGUCCUAAACCAGACCAAAUAGAGCCGUUCCUUGGCAUUUUUUAAAAAACAGAUGCUGGCAGCAGGAGAGAAGAGUUUCUUUAUUUUCUUGUCUUAAUGCUGAGAAAAUAUGCAAAUAUAUGACUUAGAAGUGGCUCUGGUUGUAGCCUUGGGCAGGUACAGGUGAUCUGCAAGAACGAAGCCAGCCCACAGAAAGAAGCAGAGAGAAGAUGAGAGAAAGGGAGAGCUCUUUGGCAGGGUUACAAGCCCUGGUUGCAGUUGUGCAGGAGGCUCUCUUCCUGUAGCCAGGGCUUUGGCACAAGUGUUUCCCUCUAAGAAUGCUCUCCACACCCUUCCUCACCAGUGA
This 753-nucleotide long non-coding RNA is filed under the name Callithrix jacchus (white-tufted-ear marmoset). RNAcentral's name for it is "lncRNA (ENSCJAG00000080870.1)". Lineage: Eukaryota; Metazoa; Chordata; Mammalia; Primates; Cebidae. The record is from RNAcentral.